GUGAGGAAUAUUGGUCAAUGGGCGCAAGCCUGAACCAGCCAUGCCGCGUGCAGGAAGACGGUCCUAUGGAUUGUAAACUGCUUUUAUUUGGGAAUAAACUCCGGUACGUGUACCGGCCUGAAGGUACCAAAUGAAUAAGCACCGGCUAACUCCGUGCCAGCAGCCGCGGUAAUACGGAGGGUGCAAGCGUUAUCCGGAAUCAUUGGGUUUAAAGGGUCCGCAGGCGGUCUUAUAAGUCAGUGGUGAAAGCCUACAGCUCAACUGUAGAACUGCCAUGGAUACUGUAGGACUUGAAUUCGAUCGAAGUGGGCGGAAUGUGACAUGUAGCGGUGAAAUGCUUAGAUAUGUCACAGAACACCGAUAGCGAAGGCAGCUCACUAGGUCUGGAUUGACGCUCAGGGACGAAAGCGUGGGGAGCAAACAGGAUUAGAUACCCCGGUAGUCC
This 445-nucleotide ribosomal RNA is filed under the name uncultured bacterium. RNAcentral's name for it is "partial 16S ribosomal RNA". It matches the Rfam family "Bacterial small subunit ribosomal RNA", at positions 354 to 796 of the family's 1533-position model. The record is from RNAcentral.